RNAcentral lists this ribosomal RNA (457 nucleotides) under uncultured Gammaproteobacteria bacterium. RNAcentral describes it as "bacterial SSU rRNA". It matches the Rfam family "Bacterial small subunit ribosomal RNA", at positions 43 to 491 of the family's 1533-position model. The record is from RNAcentral. Lineage: Bacteria; Pseudomonadati; Pseudomonadota; Gammaproteobacteria.
CAGGCCUAACACAUGCAAGUCGAGCGGAAACGAUCCUAGCUUGCUAGGAGGCGUCGAGCGGCGGACGGGUGAGUAACACGUGAGAAUCUGCCCAUUAGAGGGGGAUAACCUGGGGAAACCCAGGCUAAUACCGCAUAAUCCCUACGGGGGAAAGCAGGGGAUCUUCGGACCUUGUGCUGAUGGAUGAGCUCGCGUCGGAUUAGCUUGUUGGUGAGGUAAUGGCUCACCAAGGCGACGAUCCGUAGCUGGUCUUAGAGGAUGAUCAGCCACACCGGGACUGAGACACGGCCCGGACUCCUACGGGAGGCAGCAGUGGGGAAUCUUGGACAAUGGGGGCAACCCUGAUCCAGCCAUGCCGCGUGUGUGAAGAAGGCCUUCGGGUUGUAAAGCACUUUCAGUAGGGAGGAAGGCUUAUCCUUAAUACGGAUGAGUACUUGACGUUACCUACAGGAGAAGC